UCCACAGCUAUGCAGUAAGUCAGGUCGAUAGAUCCACACCACAGCUAUGCAGUAAGUCAGGUCUAUAGAUCCACACCACAGCUAUGCAGUUAGUCAGUUCUAUAGACCCACAGCUAUGCAGUAAGUCAGGUCUAUAGAUCCUCAGCUAUGCAGUAAGUCAGGUCUAUAGAUCCACACCACAGCUAUGCAGUAAGUCAGGUCUAUAGAUCCACAGCUAUGCAGUAAGUCAGGUCUAUAGAUCCACAGUGAUGCAGUAAGUCAGGUCUAUAGAUCCACAGUGAUGCAGUAAGUCAGGUCUAUAGAUCCACAGCUAUGCAGUAAGUCAGGUCUAUAGAUCCACACCACAGCUAUGCAGUAAGUCAGGUCUAUAGAUCCACACCAUAGCUAUGCAGUAAGUCAGGUCUAUAGAUCCACAGCGAUGCAGUAAGUCUGGUCUAUAGAUCCACAUUUAUGCAGUUAGUCAGGUCUAUAGAUCCACAUUUAUGCAGUAAGUCAGGUCUAUAGACCCACAGCUAUGCAGUAAGUCAGGUCUAUAGAUCCACAGCUAUGCAGUAAGUCAGGUCUAUAGAUCCACACCACAACUAUACAGUAAGUCAGGUCUAUAGAUCCACAGCUAUGCAGUAAGUCAGGUCGAUAGAUCCACACCACAGCUAUGCAGUAAGUCAGGUCUAUAGAUCCACACCACAGCUAUGCAGUUAGUCAGGUCUAUAGACCCACAGCUAUGCAGUAAGUCAGGUCUAUAGAUCCUCAGCUAUGCAGUAAGUCAGGUCUAUAGAUCCACACCACAGCUAUGCAGUAAGUCAGGUCUAUAGAUCCACAGCUAUGCAGUAAGUCAGGUCUAUAGAUCCACACCACAGCUAUGCAGUAAGUCAGGUCUAUAGAUCCACACCAUAGCUAUGCAGUAAGUCAGGUCUAUAGAUCCACAGCUAUACAGUAAGUCAGGUCUAUAGAUCCACACCACAGCCAUGCAGUAAGUCAGGUCUAUAGAUCCACAGCUAUGCAGUAAGUCAGGUAUAUAGAUCCACACCAUAGCUAUGCAGUAAGUCAGGUCUAUAGAUCCACAGCUAUACAGUAAGUCAGGUCUAUAGAUCCACAGCUAUACAGUAAGUCAGGUCUAUAGAUCCACAGCUAUACAGUAAGUCAGGUCUAUAGAUCCACAGUGAUGCAGUAAGUCAGGUCUAUAGAUCCACAGCUAUGCAGUAAGUCAGGUCUAUAGAUCCACAGUGAUGCAGUAAGUCAGGUCUAUAGAUCCACAGCUAUGCAGUAAGUCAGGUCUAUAGAUCCACACCACAGCUAUGCAGUAAGUCAGGUCUAUAGAUCCACACCAUAGCUAUGCAGUAAGUCAGGUCUAUAGAUCCACAGCGAUGCAGUAAGUCUGGUCUAUAGAUCCACAUUUAUGCAGUUAGUCAGGUCUAUAGAUCCACAUUUAUGCAGUAAGUCAGGUCUAUAGACCCACAGCUAUGCAGUAAGUCAGGUCUAUAGAUCCACAGCUAUGCAGUAAGUCAGGUCUAUAGAUCCACACCACAACUAUACAGUAAGUCAGGUCUAUAGAUCCACAGCUAUGCAGUAAGUCAGGUCGAUAGAUCCACACCACAGCUAUGCAGUAAGUCAGGUCUAUAGAUCCACACCACAGCUAUGCAGUUAGUCAGGUCUAUAGACCCACAGCUAUGCAGUAAGUCAGGUCUAUAGAUCCUCAGCUAUGCAGUAAGUCAGGUCUAUAGAUCCACACCACAGCUAUGCAGUAAGUCAGGUCUAUAGAUCCACAGCUAUGCAGUAAGUCAGGUCUAUAGAUCCACACCACAGCUAUGCAGUAAGUCAGGUCUAUAGAUCCACACCAUAGCUAUGCAGUAAGUCAGGUCUAUAGAUCCACAGCUAUACAGUAAGUCAGGUCUAUAGAUCCACACCACAGCCAUGCAGUAAGUCAGGUCUAUAGAUCCACAGCUAUGCAGUAAGUCAGGUAUAUAGAUCCACACCAUAGCUAUGCAGUAAGUCAGGUCUAUAGAUCCACAGCUAUACAGUAAGUCAGGUCUAUAGAUCCACACCACAGCCAUGCAGUAAGUCAGGUCUAUAGAUCCACAGCUAUGCAGUAAGUCAGGUCUAUAGAUCCACACCACAGCUAUGCAGUAAGUCAGGUCUAUAGAUCCACACCAUAGCUAUGCAGUAAGUCAGGUCUAUAGAUCCACAGCUAUACAGUAAGUCAGGUCUAUAGAUCCACACCACAGCCAUGCAGUAAUUUCAGGUCUAUAGACCCACAGCUAUGCAGUAAGUCAGGUCUAUAGAUCCACAGCUAUGCAGUAAGUCAGGUCUAUAGAUCCACACCACAGCUAUGCAGUAAGUCAGGUCUAUAGAUCCUCAGCUAUGCAGUAAGUCAGGUCUAUAUAUCCACACCACAGCUAUGCAGUUAGUCAGGUCUAUAGACCCACAGCUAUGCAGUAAGUCAGGUCUAUAGAUCCACACCACAGCUAUACAGUAAGUCAGGUCUAUAGAUCCACAGCUAUGCAGUAAGUCGGGUCUAUAGACCCACAGCUAUGCAGUAAGUCAGGUCUAUAGAUCCACAGCUAUGCAGUAAGUCAGGUCUAUAGAUCCACACCACAGCUAUGCAGUAAGUCAGGUCUAUAGAUCCACACCAUAGCUAUGCAGUAAGUCAGGUCUAUAGAUCCACAGCUAUACAGUAAGUCAGGUCUAUAGAUCCACACCACAGCCAUGCAGUAAGUCAGGUCUAUAGAUCCACAGCUAUGCAGUAAGUCAGGUCUAUAGAUCCACAGCUAUGCAGUAAGUCAGGUCUAUAGAUCCACACCACAGCUAUGCAGUAAGUCAGGUCUAUAGAUCCACAGCUAUACAGUAAGUCAGGUCUAUAGAUCCACAGCUAUGCAGUAAGUCAAGUCUAUAGAUCCACAGCUAUACAGUAAGUCAGAUCUAUAGAUCCACACCACAGCUAUGCAGUAAGUCAGGUCUAUAGAUCCACACCACAGCCAUGCAGUAAGUCAGGUCUAUAGAUCCACAGCUAUACAGUAAGUCAGGUCUAUAGAUCCACAGCUAUGCAGUAAGUCAGGUCUAUAGAUCCACAGCUAUGCAGUAAGUCAGGUCUAUAGAUCCACACCACAGCUAUGCAGUAAGUCAGGUCUAUAGAUCCACAGCUAUACAGGAAGUCAGGUCUAUAGAUCCACAGCUAUGCAGUAAGUCAGGUCUAUAGAUCCACAGCUAUGCAGUUAGUCAGGUCUAUAGAUCCACAGCUAUGCAGUAAGUCAGGUCUAUAGAUCCACAGCUAUGCAGUAAGUCAGGUCUAUAGAUCCACAGCUAUGCAGUAAGUCAGGUCUAUAGAUCCACACCACAACUAUACAGUAAGUCAGGUCUAUAGAUCCACAGCUAUGCAGUAAGUCAGGUCGAUAGAUCCACACCACAGCUAUGCAGUAAGUCAGGUCUAUAGAUCCACACCACAGCUAUGCAGUUAGUCAGGUCUAUAGACCCACAGCUAUGCAGUAAGUCAGGUCUAUAGAUCCUCAGCUAUGCAGUAAGUCAGGUCUAUAGAUCCACACCACAGCUAUGCAGUAAGUCAGGUCUAUAGAUCCACAGCUAUGCAGUAAGUCAGGUCUAUAGAUCCACACCACAGCUAUGCAGUAAGUCAGGUCUAUAGAUCCACACCAUAGCUAUGCAGUAAGUCAGGUCUAUAGAUCCACAGCUAUACAGUAAGUCAGGUCUAUAGAUCCACACCACAGCCAUGCAGUAAGUCAGGUCUAUAGAUCCACAGCUAUGCAGUAAGUCAGGUAUAUAGAUCCACACCAUAGCUAUGCAGUAAGUCAGGUCUAUAGAUCCACAGCUAUACAGUAAGUCAGGUCUAUAGAUCCACACCACAGCCAUGCAGUAAGUCAGGUCUAUAGAUCCACAGCUAUGCAGUAAGUCAGGUCUAUAGAUCCACACCACAGCUAUGCAGUAAGUCAGGUCUAUAGAUCCACACCAUAGCUAUGCAGUAAGUCAGGUCUAUAGAUCCACAGCUAUACAGUAAGUCAGGUCUAUAGAUCCACACCACAGCCAUGCAGUAAGUCAGGUCUAUAGAUCCACAGCUAUGCAGUAAGUCAGGUCUAUAGAUCCACACCACAGCUAUGCAGUAAGUCAGGUCUAUAGAUCCUCAGCUAUGCAGUAAGUCAGGUCUAUAUAUCCACACCACAGCUAUGCAGUUAGUCAGGUCUAUAGACCCACAGCUAUGCAGUAAGUCAGGUCUAUAGAUCCACACCACAGCUAUACAGUAAGUCAGGUCUAUAGAUCCACAGCUAUGCAGUAAGUCGGGUCUAUAGACCCACAGCUAUGCAGUAAGUCAGGUCUAUAGAUCCACAGCUAUGCAGUAAGUCAGGUCUAUAGAUCCACACCACAGCUAUGCAGUAAGUCAGGUCUAUAGAUCCACACCACAGCUAUACAGUAAGACUGGUCUAUAGAUCCACAGCUAUGCAGUAAGUCAGGUCUAUAGAUCCACAGCUAUACAGUAAGUCAGGUCUAUAGAUCCACAGCUAUACAGUUAGUCAGGUCUAUAGAUCCACAGCUAUGCAGUAAGUCAGGUCUAUAGAUCCACAGUGAUGCAGUAAGUCAGGUCUAUAGAUCCACAGCUAUGCAGUAAGUCAGGUCUAUAGAUCCACAGUGAUGCAGUAAGUCAGGUCUAUAGAUCCACAGCUAUGCAGUAAGUCAGGUCUAUAGAUCCACACCACAGCUAUGCAGUAAGUCAGGUCUAUAGAUCCACACCAUAGCUAUGCAGUAAGUCAGGUCUAUAGAUCCACAGCUAUACAGUAAGUCAGGUCUAUAGAUCCACACCACAGCCAUGCAGUAAGUCAGGUCUAUAGAUCCACAGCUAUGCAGUAAGUCAGGUAUAUAGAUCCACACCAUAGCUAUGCAGUAAGUCAGGUCUAUAGAUCCACACCACAGCCAUGCAGUAAGUCAGGUCUAUAGAUCCACAGCUAUGCAGUAAGUCAGGUCUAUAGAUCCACACCACAGCUAUGCAGUAAGUCAGGUCUAUAGAUCCACACCAUAGCUAUGCAGUAAGUCAGGUCUAUAGAUCCACAGCUAUACAGUAAGUCAGGUCUAUAGAUCCACACCACAGCCAUGCAGUAAGUCAGGUCUAUAGAUCCACAGCUAUGCAGUAAGUCAGGUCUAUAGAUCCACACCACAGCUAUGCAGUAAGUCAGGUCUAUAGAUCCACACCAUAGCUAUGCAGUAAGUCAGGUCUAUAGAUCCACAGCUAUACAGUAAGUCAGGUCUAUAGAUCCACACCACAGCCAUGCAGUAAUUUCAGGUCUAUAGACCCACAGCUAUGCAGUAAGUCAGGUCUAUAGAUCCACAGCUAUGCAGUAAGUCAGGUCUAUAGAUCCACACCACAGCUAUGCAGUAAGUCAGGUCUAUAGAUCCUCAGCUAUGCAGUAAGUCAGGUCUAUAUAUCCACACCACAGCUAUGCAGUUAGUCAGGUCUAUAGACCCACAGCUAUGCAGUAAGUCAGGUCUAUAGAUCCACACCACAGCUAUACAGUAAGUCAGGUCUAUAGAUCCACAGCUAUGCAGUAAGUCGGGUCUAUAGACCCACAGCUAUGCAGUAAGUCAGGUCUAUAGAUCCACAGCUAUGCAGUAAGUCAGGUCUAUAGAUCCACACCACAGCUAUGCAGUAAGUCAGGUCUAUAGAUCCACACCAUAGCUAUGCAGUAAGUCAGGUCUAUAGAUCCACAGCUAUACAGUAAGUCAGGUCUAUAGAUCCACACCACAGCCAUGCAGUAAGUCAGGUCUAUAGAUCCACAGCUAUGCAGUAAGUCAGGUCUAUAGAUCCACAGCUAUGCAGUAAGUCAGGUCUAUAGAUCCACACCACAGCUAUGCAGUAAGUCAGGUCUAUAGAUCCACAGCUAUGCAGUAAGUCAGGUCUAUAGAUCCACAGCUAUGCAGUAAGUCAGGUCUAUAGAUCCACACCACAGCUAUGCAGUAAGUCAGGUCUAUAGAUCCACAGCUAUACAGUAAGUCAGGUCUAUAGAUCCACAGCUAUGCAGUAAGUCAAGUCUAUAGAUCCACAGCUAUACAGUAAGUCAGAUCUAUAGAUCCACACCACAGCUAUGCAGUAAGUCAGGUCUAUAGAUCCACACCACAGCCAUGCAGUAAGUCAGGUCUAUAGAUCCACAGCUAUACAGUAAGUCAGGUCUAUAGAUCCACAGCUAUGCAGUAAGUCAGGUCUAUAGAUCCACAGCUAUGCAGUAAGUCAGGUCUAUAGAUCCACAGCUAUACAGUAAGUCAGAUCUAUAGAUCCACACCACAGCCAUGCAGUAAGUCAGGUCUAUAGAUCCACAGCUAUACAGUAAGUCAGGUCUAUAGAUCCACAGCUAUGCAGUAAGUCAGGUCUAUAGAUCCACAGCUAUGCAGUAAGUCAGGUCUAUAGAUCCACAGCUAUGCAGUAAGUCAGGUCUAUAGAUCCACAGCUAUGCAGUAAGUCAGGUCUAUAGAUCCACAGCUAUACAGUAAGUCAGGUCUAUAGAUCCACAGCUAUGCAGUAAGUCAGGUCUAUAGAUCCACACCACAGCUAUGCAGUAAGUCAGGUCUAUAGAUCCACAGCUAUACAGUAAGUCAGGUCUAUAGAUCCACAGCUAUGCAGUAAGUCAAGUCUAUAGAUCCACAGCUAUACAGUAAGUCAGAUCUAUAGAUCCACACCACAGCUAUGCAGUAAGUCAGGUCUAUAGAUCCACACCACAGCCAUGCAGUAAGUCAGGUCUAUAGAUCCACAGCUAUACAGUA
Oncorhynchus keta (chum salmon) is the source of this 6750-nucleotide long non-coding RNA. RefSeq lists it as uncharacterized. The record is from RefSeq and is a predicted model, not a curated record. NCBI's taxonomy places the organism in Eukaryota, Metazoa, Chordata, Actinopteri, Salmoniformes, Salmonidae. The transcript has 19 exons.